GUCCAAGUAGCUUACAAUAAAGCAUGGCACUGAAGAUGCCAAGAUGGCCCCACAUCAGCCCAUGGACA
Molecule: transfer RNA, 68 nt
Filed under: Butastur indicus (Grey-faced buzzard)
Lineage: Eukaryota; Metazoa; Chordata; Aves; Accipitriformes; Accipitridae
Also listed under: 2 other names
Description: tRNA-Phe
Source: RNAcentral